CCUACGGGAGGCAGCAGUGAGGAAUAUUGGUCAAUGGACGAGAGUCUGAACCAGCCAAGUAGCGUGAAGGAUGACUGCCCUAUGGGUUGUAAACUUCUUUUAUAUGGGAAUAAAACGUUCCACGUGUGGGAUUUUGUAUGUACCAUAUGAAUAAGGAUCGGCUAACUCCGUGCCAGCAGCCGCGGUAAUACGGAGGAUCCGAGCGUUAUCCGGAUUUAUUGGGUUUAAAGGGAGCGUAGGUGGAUUGUUAAGUCAGUUGUGAAAGUUUGCGGCUCAACCGUAAAAUUGCAGUUGAAACUGGCAGUCUUGAGUACAGUAGAGGUGGGCGGAAUUCGUGGUGUAGCGGUGAAAUGCUUAGAUAUCACGAAGAACUCCGAUUGCGAAGGCAGUUCACUGGACUGCAACUGACACUGAGGCUCGGAAGUGUGGGUAUCAAACAGGAUUAGAUACCCGAGUAGUC
RNAcentral lists this ribosomal RNA (460 nucleotides) under uncultured bacterium. RNAcentral's name for it is "partial 16S ribosomal RNA". It matches the Rfam family "Bacterial small subunit ribosomal RNA", at positions 338 to 795 of the family's 1533-position model. The record is from RNAcentral.